UACGAGAGGCCCAAACGUUAUUCGGAAUUACUGGGCUUAAAGAGUUCGUAGGCGGCAUUGCAAGUAGGGUGUGAAAGCCCUCGGCUCAACCGAGGAAUUGCGCUCUAAACUGCAGUGCUUGAGGAACCUAGAGGUGAGCAGAACAGAUGGUGGAGCGGUGAAAUGCGUUGAUAUCAUCUGGAAUACCGGAGGCGAAGGCGGCUCACUGGGAGUUUUCUGACGCUGAGGAACGAAAGCCAGUGUAGCGAACGGG
Molecule: ribosomal RNA, 253 nt
Filed under: uncultured bacterium
Lineage: Bacteria
Description: partial 16S ribosomal RNA
Rfam family: Bacterial small subunit ribosomal RNA
Source: RNAcentral